GGGACUGCUACAUCGAAGGCUCCAUUGACUUUAUCUUCGGCCAUGCGAAGUCCGUCUUCAAGGUAGAAUAGAACAAUUCUUGCGAGAAACUGGAGAACUGUUAGUCGCCUUUCUCUCUUUUUCUUUGUCUACCUGAUCUUUUUCUUUUCUCAUGUACAGGCCUGUGAGCUCCACGCCAUCGCCGACAGCUUUGGCUCAGUCACCGCUCAGAACAGGGGAGACCCUCGCGAGAACUCUGGCUUCAUAUUUAUUGCCUGCACAGUGACAGGAAGUGGCACCAUUUUCUUAGGACGAGCUUGGGGAGCUUACUCUCGAGUCGUCUAUCUCUU
This 329-nucleotide long non-coding RNA is filed under the name Selaginella moellendorffii. Its description in RNAcentral is "long non-coding RNA (SMOE_LNC000291)". The record is from RNAcentral. Lineage: Eukaryota; Viridiplantae; Streptophyta; Lycopodiopsida; Selaginellales; Selaginellaceae.